GAUGAACGCUGGCGGUAUGCCUAACACAUGCAAGUCGAACGAGCUCUUCGGAGCUAGUGGCGGACGGGUGAGUAACGCGUGAGAAUCUGCCUUCAGGAUGGGGACAACAGUUGGAAACGAUUGCUAAAACCUAAUGUGCCGCAAGGUGAAAUAUUAAUAGCCUGAAGAGGAGCUCGCGUCCGAUUAGUUAGUUGGUGGGGUAAAGGCCUACCAAGGCAGCGAUCGGUUGCUGGUCUGAGAGGAUGAGCAGCCACACUGGGACUGAGACACGGCCCAGACUCCUACGGGAGGCAGCAGUGGGGAAAUUUCCGCAAUGGGCGAAAGCCUGACGGAGCAAUACCGCGUGAGGGAGGAAGGUUUUUGGAUUGUAAACCUCUUUUGUUAAGGAAGAAGAAAGUGACGGUACUUAACGAAUAAGCAUCGGCUAACUCCGUGCCAGCCGCCGCAGUAA
Molecule: ribosomal RNA, 451 nt
Filed under: uncultured bacterium
Lineage: Bacteria
Description: partial 16S ribosomal RNA
Rfam family: Bacterial small subunit ribosomal RNA
Source: RNAcentral